GGGUGGUGGUGGGGUGUGUGUGUGUGUGUGUAGGGGUUGUCAACUUCAGAGUUGUAUUUUACAAAGAGCAUCACUGUUCAUGCUAGAUACAUGACAUUACCAACAAAUGUCUUUCUUUUCUUCUCCCUCUUACUCUUUAGACAGCUGUCACUAAGUAGCCUAGGUUGACCUGGAACUUGCCUCAGCCUCCCAGCUACUGGGAUUACAGACUUGCAAAUGUAUACAAUGUUCUGAUGGCAAGCCUUUGCCUGCCUAU
This is a long non-coding RNA of Perognathus longimembris pacificus (Pacific pocket mouse), 256 nucleotides long. RefSeq lists it as uncharacterized. The record is from RefSeq and is a predicted model, not a curated record. Lineage: Eukaryota; Metazoa; Chordata; Mammalia; Rodentia; Heteromyidae. The transcript has 3 exons.